RNAcentral lists this transfer RNA (68 nucleotides) under Tetrastemma olgarum. RNAcentral's name for it is "tRNA-Glu". The record is from RNAcentral. Lineage: Eukaryota; Metazoa; Nemertea; Enopla; Monostilifera; Tetrastemmatidae.
AUACUUUUAGUUUAAAAAUAAAAACGUUAAGUUUUCGUCUUAGUAAUGUGUCUGACGCACAAAGUAGU